Molecule: long non-coding RNA, 2212 nt
Organism: Salvelinus sp. IW2-2015
Lineage: Eukaryota; Metazoa; Chordata; Actinopteri; Salmoniformes; Salmonidae
Source: RefSeq, a predicted model, not a curated record
GCCCCCUGACCAUCUGCUCGUGGCUGAAUGUAGUUGAUGAUCCCUGACGUAGAGGGAGAGAUAGAGAGGAAGGAUGGACGGAUGAACUAGAGCGAUGAUAUACUUCAUGUUUUGAUUUACUUUAUUGUUUGGUGCCUUUUAGAUUCAUUUUCAGAUCUCUUACCCAGCUCUUGUUAAUGACGUGCAGUAAAUUGCCCCAUGCAGUCCCCUCUCUCCAAGUGUGAGUAGGCCAUGCCAAUAGUCCUGUGUUCACAGUAAUUGCCUCUGCUUGUGUAGCGUCGGCUGGGGCAGCAUGGGCACGUUACCUGAAGUGAUGCAGGGGGGUCCCACUCAUAUGUCUGUAGCUCGCUUAGCUCUCGCCCCCCUCAGCCCCCCAACGAGCAUACACACAUGUACUCAGUGGGACCCAGACUGGGUCACUUUUACCAAGCAGUACCAUUUAUGUGACAGUUCUGACUGUAUGUGACCUAAUAACAUAAAAUAACAUGACCUAUGAUGUUAUUUAUGUUAUUUUUACACGCCAAGAACCCCGGUAAACCUUGCGGUUUUGAAACUGAGUGAAGCAGGCGUCUUAGACAAACUGAAAAACAAAUGGUGGUACGAUAAGGGCGAGUGUGGACCCAAGGACUCGGGAAGUAAGGACAAGUCCUCCCAGGCCCUGAGCCUGAGCAACGUGGCUGGGGUCUUCUACAUCCUGGUGGGGGGUCUGGGCCUAGCCAUGCUGGUGGCCCUGGURGAGUUCUGCUACAAGUCGCGUGCCGAGGCCAAGCGCAUGAAGGUGGACCUUAGCCCCCCUCACUGCCCCAGCCCCUCUCCCAGCACCCAGAAUUUAGCCACUUAUAGAGAGGGGUACAACGUAUACGGCUCCGAGGGGGUCAAGAUAUAGGGCUGCCCUUUACAGAAGCCAUGCGGAACAAGGCUCGGCUGUCAAUCACGGGCAGUGUGGGUGAGAAUGGGCGUGUUUUAACACCGGACUGCCCUAAGGCCGUCCAUGCUGGCCACUCCCUCAGACACCCAGGGCUUACCCUACCAUCGGGCCUACCCUGAAAACCAAAAACACACACUGUGCCUUAACCACACACACGGCUACGUCAUUACCACCCCGACGCCACACACACAGACACACAGACCAGAGACCGCCAGCAAGCUAACAGCAACAACAGGGAGAGAGGAGGGACAAAUAUGAUGAUCACCAUCACACUAAAAUCCUAACUUGAGCUCCAUGAAACAAGGACAACAAGGUGACAAACUAACAGUGUUAGAACACUGACGACGUGGAACCGAAAAGAAAAACUGAGAAAGAUAAAAAGAUGAAAAUGGUGAUGAUGAUGGUGAUGAUGAAGACUUUGAGCACUGUCAUGAGCAGGCAGACGUGACUUUAUCUGCUCCAAUGUGAUAGACUGCGUCCUCUAACAAGCCACACCCCUGAUCCCCUACCAGGAAACAAUGCUUUAGGACAAAUCUUCAUCAUCUUCACUUGCCUACGAAGAAUAAGCUCCAGGCGAAUCACUUAUAAGACCAGAAAACUGUAAACCUGAAAACGUUGGACUGUACAAACCUGCUCUUUCUCCAUGAACUGUUCAGACGAACAUGCUUUUACAACGCUUUGGUUAGCGUCUCGCAAACACAAUGCAGAGAUCACUGAAGUUACCGUAAUAGAUGAAAACUCAACUGAUAUCUCCAAACUCUUAUGGCUAACACGACCGUAGGAUUCACAGGGGUUUGUAAAAAAUGAAAAUAAAAAGAGUAAUAGCUACUGAAACGAUCCAUAAUAAUGACAGUAACGCUAAAUAACAACUACAUGUAUCCCUUCUCGGGGAGGGAAACAGAGGUAAAGCUGUACAUUCUGUGAAAAGUGAAGAAAACGUAUAAAGGUAAAUCCCCCAUAUAAGGUAUUGUUUUUGACCAGGGCCAGAUUUAGCCAUCUAGAGCGCUGGUGUAAAGUAGUCCACUAUAUGGGGGACAGGGUGUCACGUGGGACAUGGACAUGUUGUUUUCCAGUGGAGAGGGAAGGUACUGACUGUUUCAGAUGCUUGCAUUUUAAACUGUUGUAAAUUACUGUGUAGCAAAACUGAACUCACCUCUCUUUUUUAACCAUCUUAGGUAAUAAUUCAUUGCAAUAAUGAAUAUAACAAAAUGCCACUUGUAAUUAUGAAUACAUCUUUUUAUAAAUACAUAUUAUAUAUAAUACAAAUGAAUANAAUAUAUAUAU